Molecule: long non-coding RNA, 1176 nt
Organism: Phyllopteryx taeniolatus (common seadragon)
Lineage: Eukaryota; Metazoa; Chordata; Actinopteri; Syngnathiformes; Syngnathidae
Exons: 6
Source: RefSeq, a predicted model, not a curated record
UGUGACACCCGUUGCGUUUCCGUGCCUCCGCCCUUUCCCUCUUUAUGGGCUCAUGUACAGUAUAAUCAAUUUUAUGUAAAAAUUCAACUGAUAAAAAGCCACCAAAUGACAUAAAGUUCUCCUUUGGGAUUUACAACUUUGGCCGCUGUCAAGCGUCCAAAUGGCGACAAAUAACAACAAAGACACAUGGUGCGAAACAUGGAGAAAGAGCGAGUUACAGUAUGGAAGCAACGCUGAAAACUGCAAAGGGUGUCAUGAAAAUCUGAGGACGACGACUUUGGGCAAAAGAGAGCAAAUGGAUGAUGCGGAAGUCACAUCUUGACACAACAACCUGACACAAGCAAAGUCAAAAUGAUGCAGAGAGGACAAAAGAAACCGUUGAAAAAAAGGAGGGAUGAACACAGCAUGGGGACAUUGUUGACGGUCGACACCCUGGGGACGUCUUGAUAUGUAACGCACAGACCACGAGCUCAUCGUCACAUUGUUCUUCCAGUGGGCUCUUCUUGUAUGAGCCGGCGCUUCCACACGUGGGUCUAAUGACUGACCGCCGACCGUCUGAUGGGAAAGUCGGGAAGUCGUGAGAGAUGAGUGCUCCAGAACAAAUCACAGCUUGGCUUCAGCUCCGAUUUGUGAGUCGCAAUGAAACACUUUACGAGCGCCUUCAUUCCACAAGUUAAAAUGAUUCAUCUGCGCGGUCUACAUUAAACAGGUUGUAAUGGUUGAGUCAUUGAUUUAAAUGUGACUCCUGCUGCUCUGUUCCAUCUUGACAGCGGACGGAAUGUCUUCCUUUGGUCUCCACAAUUCUCCAAAAUAGCUUUUAUUUCAUGUUCCCAAUUCACUGGUUGUACAGCACAUAUUUAAUAUUUAGAAAGUACAAAUGAAUGCACCGGUACCUGGACUUACAAGUUUUUUUUUUUAGAUUAGAGCCGUCGCUUGGAUGAUUUAUUUAUUUUUCCCCCCCCUUGAGUUAGAGGUAACAAUGAUAGCCGUAAUUAUGAUUCAGUCAGUGUUUCUUCAGUGUGCUAUCAUAACAACAUUCCCUCUUAUCUCACUCGUGCAAUGUGCAGAUAAGGUGAACUGUUCUGGCAGGAACAGCAAAGUCUUCUUCUUUUUUUGCCUGGCUGCAAGCUAUUAUGCCUGUGCCUAAAAGAGUUUUUUUUUUUUUUUAGCAACUUG